Molecule: ribosomal RNA, 253 nt
Filed under: uncultured bacterium
Lineage: Bacteria
Description: partial 16S ribosomal RNA
Rfam family: Bacterial small subunit ribosomal RNA
Source: RNAcentral
UACGAAGGGGGCUAGCGUUGCUCGGAAUCACUGGGCGUAAAGGGCGCGUAGGCGGCCGAUUAAGUCGGGGGUGAAAGCCUGUGGCUCAACCACAGAAUUGCCUUCGAUACUGGUUGGCUUGAGACCGGAAGAGGACAGCGGAAUUCCGGGUGUAGUGGUGGAAUGCGUAGAGAUCCGGAGGAACACCAGCGGCGAAGGCGGCAUCCUGGACUGGUCCUGACACUCAGGAGCGAAAGCGUGGGGAGCGAUCCGG